UGCAGAUCAAGAUGCCCUGAGGGCAAAGAGCAGAGGGGUGCUCUCUGGUGGCCCAGCAGUUCUGCCCCAGGGGAGAGGUUUCUCUUUUACUACCGCGAAAACCCACAGGACGCUGCUUCAUCCCAGAGCCAAGGAUACCAGGAAGGAAGGUCAGAGUGAGGAGGUGUCUGAGUGUUUCAGAUCACACAGUGACAUACUGCUUGAUGGCUUCAGAAAUCCUUCAUGAGCUGGGAGACAGCCCCAGAGGUGACAGUUUCUACAAGAGCAGUCUGAAAUGCCACCUCCCAAGAAACCUCCAUGCAACUUCCCAAGCAGAAUGAGUCACCCCCUCUUCUGCCCUUUCAUAGCCCCAACCAUCUCGAGGACAACACAUCAGCAGCAGCAGCCACGUAGAUGUUUGUUUCUGUACCUGGAUUCUAAGUGCCUGAAGGACUGGACAUAUCUGGUUUCUAAGUUCCAGGAGGACUGGACACAUCCAUCACCCACGUGUAAACCCAGCA
Molecule: long non-coding RNA, 500 nt
Filed under: Homo sapiens (human)
Lineage: Eukaryota; Metazoa; Chordata; Mammalia; Primates; Hominidae
Description: novel transcript
Source: RNAcentral